AGAGAUGUAGUAUAGUUAUUAUAUUUGGUUUGGGACUAAAAGAUAUUACUUUUGUAAUCAUUUCUA
This 66-nucleotide transfer RNA is filed under the name Brachionus rubens. RNAcentral's name for it is "tRNA-Pro". The record is from RNAcentral. Lineage: Eukaryota; Metazoa; Rotifera; Eurotatoria; Ploima; Brachionidae.